AUUGAACGCUGGCGGUAGGCCUAACACAUGCAAGUCGAACGGCAGCACGGUAAGAGCUGGCUCUUACGUGUGGCGAGUGGGGGACGGGUGAGGAAUACAGGGGAAUGUACGUUUUCGGGGGGGAUAACGUAGGGAAACUUACGCUAAUAGCGCAUACGACCUACGGGUGAAAGCAGGGGAUCUGCGGACCUUGCGAGAGGGUGUGAGCCGAUGUCGGAUUAGCUAGUAGGCGGGGUAAAGGCCCACCAAGGCGACGAUCCGUAGCUGGUCUGAGAGGAUGAUCAGCCACACUGGAACUGAGACACGGUCCAGACUCCUACGGGAGGCAGCAGUGGGGAAUAUUGGACAAUGGGCGCAAGCCUGAUGCAGCCAUGCCGCGUGGAUGAAGAAGGCCUUCGGGUUGUAAAGCCCUUUUGUCGGGGAAGAAAAGCAGCAGGUUAAUACCCCGCUGUACUGACGGUACCCACAGAAUAAGCACCGGCUAACUCCGUG
This 492-nucleotide ribosomal RNA is filed under the name uncultured bacterium. Its description in RNAcentral is "partial 16S ribosomal RNA". It matches the Rfam family "Bacterial small subunit ribosomal RNA", at positions 29 to 507 of the family's 1533-position model. The record is from RNAcentral.